Molecule: ribosomal RNA, 305 nt
Filed under: uncultured bacterium
Lineage: Bacteria
Description: bacterial SSU rRNA
Rfam family: Bacterial small subunit ribosomal RNA
Source: RNAcentral
CAGCCUACGGGAGGCAGCAGUGGGGAAUAUUGCGCAAUGGGCGAAAGCCUGACGCAGCGACGCCGCGUGAGGGAUGAAGGGCUUCGGAUCGUAAACCUCUGUCAGCAGGGAAGAACGGUCACUGUGCUAAUCAGCAGUGAAUUGACGGUACCUGCAAAGGAAGCACCGGCUAACUCCGUGCCAGCAGCCGCGGUAAUACGGAGGGUGCGAGCGUUAAUCGGAAUUACUGGGCGUAAAGCGCUCGUAGGCGGUAGGGCAAGGCAAGGGUGAAAGCCCCGCGCUCAACGGGGGAACUGCCUUUGAAA